UGUGUAGGCGGUUCUUUAAGUUUGGUGUGAAAUCUCCCGGCUCAACCGGGAGGGUGCGCCGAAUACUGAGGGACUAGAGUGUGGGAGAGGAAAGUGGAAUCCUGGUGUAGCGGUGAAAUGCGUAGAUAUCAGGAGGAACACCGGUGGUGUAGACGGCUUUCUGGACCAUAACUGACGCUGAGACACGAAAGCGUGGGUAGCAAAACA
Molecule: ribosomal RNA, 207 nt
Filed under: uncultured bacterium
Lineage: Bacteria
Description: partial 16S ribosomal RNA
Rfam family: Bacterial small subunit ribosomal RNA
Source: RNAcentral